Molecule: ribosomal RNA, 751 nt
Filed under: uncultured bacterium
Lineage: Bacteria
Description: bacterial SSU rRNA
Rfam family: Bacterial small subunit ribosomal RNA
Source: RNAcentral
AUUGAACGCUGGCGGCAUGCCUUACACAUGCAAGUCGAACGGCAGCACGGACUUCGGUCUGGUGGCGAGUGGCGAACGGGUGAGUAAUAUAUCGGAACAUACCCUAGAGUGGGGGAUAACGUAGCGAAAGUUACGCUAAUACCGCAUACGAACUAAGGUUGAAAGUGGGGGAUCGCAAGACCUCAUGCUCAUGGAGUGGCCGAUAUCUGAUUAGCUAGUUGGUGGGGUAAAAGCCCACCAAGGCGACGAUCUGUAGCUGGUCUGAGAGGACGACCAGCCACACUGGAACUGAGACACGGUCCAGACUCCUACGGGAGGCAGCAGUGGGGAAUUUUGGACAAUGGGGGCAACCCUGAUCCAGCAAUGCCGCGUGAGUGAAGAAGGCCUUCGGGUUGUAAAGCUCUUUUGUCAGGGAAGAAACGGUGAUCGCUAAUAUCGGUUGCUAAUGACGGUACCUGAAGAAUAAGCACCGGCUAACUACGUGCCAGCAGCCGCGGUAAUACGUAGGGUGCAAGCGUUAAUCGGAAUUACUGGGCGUAAAGCGUGCGCAGGCGGUUAUAUAAGUCAGAUGUGAAAUCCCCGGGCUCAACCUGGGAACUGCAUUUGAGACUGUAUGGCUAGAGUGUGUCAGAGGGGGGUAGAAUUCCACGUGUAGCAGUGAAAUGCGUAGAUAUGUGGAGGAAUACCGAUGGCGAAGGCAGCCCCCUGGGAUAACACUGACGCUCAUGCACGAAAGCGUGGGGAGCAAACA